GCUAAAGAAGUAAGAAGGAACUAAGUGUGGGAUGGCUUUUGAGUGGAACCAAUGAAAAGAAGAAAGGUGCCCUUAUUUUGUAAACUAAUACACCACUAGUUGAAAUUUUACAAAAAUAUAUAAAGAAGAAGGGAGCAUUUUUGGGGUGAUUAGUUUGCGAAGGUGAAGUGGAUUGAAGAAAUUGCACUUAAAGUUGAUUAUCGGGUAUGUUAAAGUGCUUAGAAGGAUUAGUCACUAUUCCUAAAUCCUACCCGUCCCUUAGCCCACAUUACAACCAUAAAAAGUCCUAAUUGAUUUUAGACUGAGUGAGCCUACAUUAGUAGAGAUUUACAUUAAGGGCAAGCUUAUAGUACCAAUUGCAUGUAGGUGACUUCUUUUGUGAGGGUGAGCGAUUUUCUAUGAUAUAUGUGAGCACGAGAUUCAAAUGUAUAGAUUGAUUUUAUUCUCUUUACUGUGAUUGUGAGGACAUGUGAUUCGUGAAGGAAAGGCAAGUCUUGACUUCAGAGUAGAGUACUUUGAGGAAGUAUCAAUAUUGCAUGGCACUUGAGAGUCGACUUGUGAGACCAGGAUUGUUCACUGCUAAGCGUAACGUAUGUAAAUUGUUCUAGGUGUAAUGCAUUAGGGGAAAUGGUUGAUUGAAGGAACCUCUAGAAAGUAUAAUGUGAUUGAUCGAGGACUAGCAAUCAAUUAAGUGUGGGAUGUUGAUAAUAGACUAAAUCUAGGUAAUUUAGCAAUUGUUUAUGCUCCCGCUUGAUUAUGUUCCAAUGUCAUAAUGUGGUUAAUUGAUUACAAUUGGUCUCUGUGAAUUGUACAUAUUGCAAGACGAGGAGCCUAUGUGAUGCCUUAAAGAGGUGAUUGUAACUAUUUUAGAGCAAGAACGACCUUUAGGAGCUGAGUACGCACAAAGACGAGGAAAAGAAACAAGGAAACAAGG
Molecule: long non-coding RNA, 934 nt
Filed under: Nicotiana benthamiana
Lineage: Eukaryota; Viridiplantae; Streptophyta; Magnoliopsida; Solanales; Solanaceae
Description: long non-coding RNA (NBEN_LNC028009)
Source: RNAcentral